This 329-nucleotide long non-coding RNA is filed under the name Androctonus crassicauda. The record is from RNAcentral. Lineage: Eukaryota; Metazoa; Arthropoda; Arachnida; Scorpiones; Buthidae.
GAACUGCCAUCUCAGUCUUUCUUUUGUUAAUUCAUCUAGCCCUUCAAUAAUUGGUUCAAAAACUUGUAUAUCAUCUAGGAUGUUACAUUUUCUUUCUAUAGCAUUUAAUGGUCCUUUUUCUAACAAGUAAGACCUUUAUGCAGGGCAGCAAAUUAAUAUUGCCUAAAACUGUUACUACAUCUGUCAAAGGUAAUCUGCUUGGUCUUCUAAACGUUCUCUGCUUCAGCAACACCCACUUCAUUUUCUUGAAGUGUUUGUUUCUUAGUUGCUUUGUUAUUUCAUCUGCAUAUUCAUUUAUUUUAGUCAGUUCUUCUUCUAUAAUUCUAUUA